AGUGAACGCUGGCGGUAGGCCUAACACAUGCAAGUCGAACGGCAGCACCGUAAGAGCUUGCUCUUACGGGUGGCGAGUGGCGGACGGGUGAGGAAUAAAUCGGACUCUACUUUUUCGUGGGGGAUAACGUAGGGAAACUUACGCUAAUACCGCAUACGACCUACGGGUGAAAGCAGGGGAUCUUCGGACCUUGCGCGAUUGAAUGAGCCGAUGUCGGAUUAGCUAGUUGGCGGGGUAAAGGCCCACCACGGCGACGAUCCGUAGCUGGUCUGAGAGGAUGAUCAGCCACACGGGAACUUAGACACCCUCCAUACUCCUGCGGGAGGCAGCAGUCGCGAACGUUGGACAGUGGUCGCAAGCCUUAUCCAGCCAUACCGCGUGUGAUAAGAAGGCCUUCCGUUUGUAAUGCCCUUCUUCUGGUAGAGAAAAUCAUCAGGUUGAGACCCCGCUGUACUGACGGUACCCAAAGAAUAAGCACCGGCUAACUACGUG
RNAcentral lists this ribosomal RNA (492 nucleotides) under uncultured bacterium. Its description in RNAcentral is "partial 16S ribosomal RNA". It matches the Rfam family "Bacterial small subunit ribosomal RNA", at positions 29 to 507 of the family's 1533-position model. The record is from RNAcentral.